GAUGAACGCUGGCGGCGUGCUUAACACAUGCAAGUCGAACGAAGCACUUUAUUUGAUUUCCUUCGGGACUGAUUAUUUUGUGACUGAGUGGCGGACGGGUGAGUAACGCGUGGGUAACCUGCCUUGUACAGGGGGAUAACAGUUGGAAACGGCUGCUAAUACCGCAUAAGCGCACAGCAUCGCAUGAUGCAGUGUGAAAAACUCCGGUGGUAUAAGAUGGACCCGCGUUGGAUUAGCUAGUUGGUGAGGUAACGGCCCACCAAGGCGACGAUCCAUAGCCGACCUGAGAGGGUGACCGGCCACAUUGGGACUGAGACACGGCCCAAACUCCUACGGGAGGCAGCAGUGGGGAAUAUUGCACAAUGGGCGAAAGCCUGAUGCAGCGACGACGCGUGAGCGAAGAAGUAUUUCGGUAUGUAAAGCUCUAUCAGCAGGGAAGAUAAUGACGGUACCUGACUAAGAAGCACCGGCUAAAUACGUG
RNAcentral lists this ribosomal RNA (481 nucleotides) under uncultured bacterium. RNAcentral's name for it is "partial 16S ribosomal RNA". It matches the Rfam family "Bacterial small subunit ribosomal RNA", at positions 28 to 507 of the family's 1533-position model. The record is from RNAcentral.